This 615-nucleotide ribosomal RNA is filed under the name uncultured fungus. RNAcentral's name for it is "LSU rRNA". It matches the Rfam family "Eukaryotic large subunit ribosomal RNA", at positions 23 to 664 of the family's 3401-position model. The record is from RNAcentral. Lineage: Eukaryota; Fungi.
ACCCGCUGAACUUAAGCAUAUCAAUAAGCGGAGGAAAAGAAACCAACAGGGAUUGCCCUAGUAACGGCGAGUGAAGCGGCAACAGCUCAAAUUUGAAAUCUGGCUUCGGCCCGAGUUGUAAUUUGUAGAGGAAGCUUCUGGCGCGGUGCCGUCCGAGUCCCCUGGAACGGGGCGCCAUAGAGGGUGAGAGCCCCGUAUGGACGGAUGCCUAGCCUGUGUGAAGCUCCUUCGACGAGUCGAGUAGUUUGGGAAUGCUGCUCAAAAUGGGAGGUAAAUUCCUUCUAAAGCUAAAUAUUGGCCAGAGACCGAUAGCGCACAAGUAGAGUGAUCGAAAGAUGAAAAGCACUUUGAAAAGAGGGUUAAACAGCACGUGAAAUUGUUGAAAGGGAAGCGCUUGUGACCAGACUUGCGUCAGGUUGAUCAUCCGGUGUUCUCACCGGUGCACUCUGCCUGGCACAGGCCAGCAUCAGUUUUGGCGGGGGGAUAAAGGGCGCGGGAACGUAGCUCCUCCGGGAGUGUUAUAGCCCGUGUCGCAAUACCCUCGCCGGGACUGAGGACCGCGCAUCUGCAAGGAUGCUGGCGUAAUGGUCAUCAGCGACCCGUCUUGAAACACGG